This 805-nucleotide ribosomal RNA is filed under the name Staphylococcus hominis subsp. novobiosepticus. RNAcentral describes it as "bacterial SSU rRNA". It matches the Rfam family "Bacterial small subunit ribosomal RNA", at positions 100 to 889 of the family's 1533-position model. The record is from RNAcentral. Lineage: Bacteria; Bacillati; Bacillota; Bacilli; Caryophanales; Staphylococcaceae.
GGACGGGUGAGUAACACGUGGGUAACCUACCUAUAAGACUGGGAUAACUUCGGGAAACCGGAGCUAAUACCGGAUAAUAUUUCGAACCGCAUGGUUCGAUAGUGAAAGAUGGCCUUGCUAUCACUUAUAGAUGGACCUGCGCCGUAUUAGCUAGUUGGUAAGGUAACGGCUUACCAAGGCAACGAUACGUAGCCGACCUGAGAGGGUGAUCGGCCACACUGGAACUGAGACACGGUCCAGACUCCUACGGGAGGCAGCAGUAGGGAAUCUUCCGCAAUGGGCGAAAGCCUGACGGAGCAACGCCGCGUGAGUGAUGAAGGUCUUCGGAUCGUAAAACUCUGUUAUUAGGGAAGAACAUACGUGUAAGUAACUGUGCACGUCUUGACGGUACCUAAUCAGAAAGCCACGGCUAACUACGUGCCAGCAGCCGCGGUAAUACGUAGGUGGCAAGCGUUAUCCGGAAUUAUUGGGCGUAAAGCGCGCGUAGGCGGUUUUUUAAGUCUGAUGUGAAAGCCCACGGCUCAACCGUGGAGGGUCAUUGGAAACUGGAAAACUUGAGUGCAGAAGAGGAAAGUGGAAUUCCAUGUGUAGCGGUGAAAUGCGCAGAGAUAUGGAGGAACACCAGUGGCGAAGGCGACUUUCUGGUCUGUAACUGACGCUGAUGUGCGAAAGCGUGGGGAUCAAACAGGAUUAGAUACCCUGGUAGUCCACGCCGUAAACGAUGAGUGCUAAGUGUUAGGGGGUUUCCGCCCCUUAGUGCUGGCAGCUAACGCAUUAAGCACUCCGCCUGGGGGAGUACGACCGC